Molecule: long non-coding RNA, 788 nt
Filed under: Homo sapiens (human)
Lineage: Eukaryota; Metazoa; Chordata; Mammalia; Primates; Hominidae
Description: HSALNT0373733
Source: RNAcentral
CCUAGUUAAUAGGGAGUCUAGCUUCAAACCCACAUCUGACUGAAUCUAAUUCCACCUACAGCUUUGAAGGCUCAGAAAACAUAACUGCUUGAAAAACUGAGUUAACUCUAUGACUGCCAGGACAAAAGCUUAGGAUUUAGAAAUGAAACAAUGAAUAAGUAGACAUUUUGCUCUCAUUUUGUUAUUUUUUACUUUAUUUUCCAAAUAUGUUUAGGUUAAAGAAAAGAACAUGGGAUUUAGAGUCAAAUAGGCAGGUGUUUUGAUUCUACCCUUGCUAACCCUGUGACCUUUGGACAGCCUACGUUGUCCAGUGGAGGCAGCCUUCCCAUUCCAACGGACAUUUGUGGGAUAUUAGAGACCAAGAAGUGUUAAGAGAUGAUCUUCACAAAAUGCUGAGCUUGUGUGGGUGUCGAACUACAAACAGGAGGAGAUGGAUAUUCACAUGCAGUGGUGGAGGGUUAUGGCUCUCCAGCCUGGAGGAUUGGAGCUUGAGCCAGGAAAGAAGCUUUCAUUUGCAUCAAUAUGCUAGUCCAUGGAGUACACAGAUUGUUCUACAAACCAUAUGGUGACUAAGCCUCAUUAUUGAAUGCAGUUGACAUGGAAACAACUAGUCAACAUCAAAUAAAUAGAUUAUUUUGUGCAAAUAGCUGCCUCUUUGUGACAAUAAUAAAUACUUUAUUUGUAUCAGGAAAAUGUCUAACAAUAAUUCAAUGACAAUUAACAAUACCUUUAUGGCCUUCAAUUGCUUGUAUAUUCUCUCACUCUCUCUGUAUGUAUAUACACACAGA